CCCGCAGCGAGAGUUUAACCACUCUGGGCGCGGGGAGCUCGGGCGAUUUAGCGCUGGGGACCAAGGAUCCGUGGAGCGACGAACUGGGGGGCCCCAAGAUACCAGUGAGAAAAAGAGAGAGCACAAGCAGGGGACUCUAUCCUUUUGAAGACAGAGACCUUGGACAAUGAGACAGUAUUUUCAAAACGGACCAUGUGCAUGAGGACUGAAGCCCCAGCUCCCAACCAGCACUGAGGUCCCAGUCAUGUGAUGAAAUCAUCUCAGACCGUUCGACCCCGCCUUAGCUGUCUCUGACAUCAUAUGGAGAAGAAACAAGCCCUCCCCACUAUGCCCUCCCCAAGUUCGAGACCCAGAUAAUGAUGAG
Molecule: long non-coding RNA, 364 nt
Filed under: Mustela putorius furo (domestic ferret)
Lineage: Eukaryota; Metazoa; Chordata; Mammalia; Carnivora; Mustelidae
Description: lncRNA (ENSMPUG00000024614.1)
Source: RNAcentral